CUUUGGGAAAAGAGAUAAGCUUUAUUCUGUGAGAUGGAUCUGCAGGGAGAACAGGGGGCAUGUGCCCUCAGAUCUGUCUCCCUGAUUCAGGGUUUGGGGCAAAAUAUAAGAGGUUGGGGAGAACAGGCUGGCACGCAGAAAUGUUGGUGGGACAGGUUUUGAUUGGUGGACUUCAAGCAUUUGUGGUAAGGUUCUAAACAGUUAUGACAGGGUUCUAAACAUUUUUGAUGAGGUGGGGAAAGAAUUCUAACACCAGAUCUUCCUGAAUGAGGGGCUCCCUCGCUUCUGAUAAGAGUUCAACCUUCAAGUUCGGGUCGUGUCCUGGUCCUUGGGUUCCAUGGGAAGGAGGAUCUUUGGUUCCACGGUCAUUUCAGGGGCAAGAUCACUUCACAGGCACGUAACGUGUGGCCGUGUCUCUCUGGUGAUGUGAGCAGCCGUGGCGAUCGUGGACUGGAUCCACUAAAUCAUUAGGAGCAUGCAGAGUGCGGAUGUUCCACCACUCACUCCGCGUUUACUAGCUGGAAUCCUCCUAGACAAAGAAACUCCUCAUGUUUAACUAUCUGAUUAUGCAAAGGAACAGUUCAUACAGGAAAGGCAGGACAUAUGCUUGAUUUCCUCCUUUUUGUUAACCAGUUUUAAAAAUAAAGGAGUGGGCUCUCCAGAAUCUGCCAAAGCGAU
This 678-nucleotide long non-coding RNA is filed under the name Equus asinus (donkey). Its description in RNAcentral is "lncRNA (ENSEASG00005033192.1)". Lineage: Eukaryota; Metazoa; Chordata; Mammalia; Perissodactyla; Equidae. The record is from RNAcentral.